RNAcentral lists this ribosomal RNA (254 nucleotides) under uncultured bacterium. RNAcentral's name for it is "partial 16S ribosomal RNA". It matches the Rfam family "Bacterial small subunit ribosomal RNA", at positions 524 to 776 of the family's 1533-position model. The record is from RNAcentral.
UACGAGGGGGGCGAGCGUUGUUCGGAAUUAUUGGGCGUAAAGGGUGGCGUAGGCGGUUUGGUAAGUCUUAUGUGAAAUCUACAGGCUCAACUUGUAGUCUGCAUGAGAAACUGCCGGGCUUGAGUAUGGGAGAGGUGAGUGGAAUUCCUGGUGUAGCGGUGAAAUGCGUAGAUAUCAGGAGGAACACCUGUGGCGAAAGCGGCUCACUGGACCAUAACUGACGCUGAUGCACGAAAGCUAGGGGAGCAAACAGG